Sander lucioperca (pikeperch) is the source of this 148-nucleotide long non-coding RNA. RefSeq lists it as uncharacterized. Lineage: Eukaryota; Metazoa; Chordata; Actinopteri; Perciformes; Percidae. The record is from RefSeq and is a predicted model, not a curated record. The transcript is spliced from 3 exons.
GUAGCUUAGACACUAAAACAUUAUGGGAUUCAACAAGCCAUUCAGAUUUGGCUCCUCUUUCGAUGUCACAUGCAGGCUCAUUAGAAUAUACAAACCUCCAUCUGAGUAUUUCCACCUACAGCUUGAGAAAUACCUAAGGUGCGCCAUA